UGGGCGUAAGGGCUCGCAGGCGGUUUCUUAAGUCUGAUGUGAAAGCCCCCGGCUCAACCGGGGAGGGUCAUUGGAAACUGGGAAACUUGAGUGCAGAAGAGGAGAGUGGAAUUCCACGUGUAGCGGUGAAAUGCGUAGAGAUGUGGAGGAACACCAGUGGCGAUUGCGACUCUCUGGUCUGUAACUGACGCUGAGGAGCGAAAGCGUGGGGAGCGAACAGGAUUAGAUACCCUGCCUAGUCCACGCCGUAGACGAUGAUUGCUAAGUGUUCCCCCUUUUCCGCCCCUUAACGCUGCAGCUAACCCC
This 306-nucleotide ribosomal RNA is filed under the name Bacillus subtilis. RNAcentral describes it as "bacterial SSU rRNA". It matches the Rfam family "Bacterial small subunit ribosomal RNA", at positions 555 to 859 of the family's 1533-position model. Lineage: Bacteria; Bacillati; Bacillota; Bacilli; Caryophanales; Bacillaceae. The record is from RNAcentral.